Non-coding RNA from Caenorhabditis elegans, 76 nucleotides. The record is from Ensembl. Lineage: Eukaryota; Metazoa; Nematoda; Chromadorea; Rhabditida; Rhabditidae.
AAAAAAACUGCCAAAUUUGGUUAUAUGUUGUGCUGUCACCCACUAAUGAACUUCAUGUGUGAAAAGAGGGUGCGAG